This is an RNA transcript of Eucalyptus grandis, 4120 nucleotides long. It is a transcript of the gene named kinesin-like protein KIN-7D, mitochondrial, with no coding region annotated. NCBI's taxonomy places the organism in Eukaryota, Viridiplantae, Streptophyta, Magnoliopsida, Myrtales, Myrtaceae. The transcript has 25 exons. The record is from RefSeq and is a predicted model, not a curated record.
UCUAUUCCUCCCCUUCGAGCAUCGCUCUGCGAGUCUUUGUCUUAAAGAAGAAGAAAUGCAGCACCGUUCAGUCCCUCGGACAAGGUAGCGAAAAGCGUUGCAGAGCGAAAUUUAUUAAAAAAAAAAAAAUUUAUACAUAAAAUUUCCAGAAAAAAAAAAGAACCGAAAUGUGCUUGGUCUCUGCCUUUGUCCUCCUAGCCAUGUGAGCUCACUGACAUAUUCUCUUCUUCUUCUUCUUCACCUUUUCUUUCCUCCACUUCCCCCUUUUUUUUUGUAUCCUUCUCCUUCGCCAUUCUGGCCUCCCCGAGUCAUUGACUCACUGACUCGGCCCCGAGUUGACCGGCUCCCGCUCCGGCGCCGCCCAUGGCCUCCUCGUCCCGGGCAAGGAGCAGCUCCCCGUUCUCGUACCGCAAGCCGGCCAGCCCGUACUCCUCCACUUCCUCCUCCUCCUCGCUCUCCAACCCGCGGCUCCUGCCCCGCUCCUGCUCCUCCUCCGCCACGUCGUACUACAACCCGGCCGGCGGGCUCGGCUCGCGAUCGAUGACGCCGAGCCGGUCCCGGUCCGAUUCGGUGUACUGCGGCGGCCCGCCCGCGUGCGGUACUCGCUCUCCGGUGGGGUUCCCGUCCGACGAGCUGAUGGGCGAGCCUCUGGAGCCGCCGCGCUCGGCGGAUAGCAUCUCGGUGACCAUUCGGUUUCGGCCGUUGAGCGAGAGAGAGUAUCAGAGAGGAGACGAGAUAGCGUGGUAUGCCGAUGGGGAUAAGAUUGUCAGGAACGAGUACAAUCCAGCUACCUUUUAUGCAUUCGAUAAAGUUUUCGGGCCGCAUACUACCUCGCAGGAUGUAUAUGAAGUGGCAGCAAAGCCGGUGGUCAAGGCUGCGAUGGAAGGUGUUAAUGGAACUGUUUUUGCAUAUGGCGUUACGAGUAGUGGGAAGACACACACUAUGCAUGGUGAUCAAAAUUCUCCUGGUGUCAUACCGCUGGCUAUCAAGGAUGUUUUUAGUAUGAUCCAAGAUACUCCAGGCAGAGAGUUUUUGCUCCGUGUGUCAUAUCUUGAAAUUUAUAACGAGGUGAUCAAUGACUUGCUUGAUCCAACUGGUCAAAAUCUGCGUGUUAGGGAAGAUGCACAGGGAACUUACGUCGAGGGCAUAAAAGAAGAAGUUGUGUUGUCUCCUGGGCAUGCUUUGUCAUUCAUUGCGGCUGGGGAAGAGCAUCGUCACGUUGGAUCCAAUAACUUCAAUCUUUUGAGCAGCCGAAGUCACACAAUUUUUACUCUGAUGAUUGAGAGUAGUGCCCAUGGUGAUGAAUAUGAUGGAGUGAUCUUCUCUCAGUUGAAUUUGAUUGACCUGGCUGGAUCUGAAAGCUCCAAGACUGAAACAACUGGACUGCGGAGAAAGGAAGGAUCUUACAUAAAUAAAAGUCUUCUUACUCUUGGAACUGUGAUUGGCAAACUGAGUGAAGGGAAAGCUUCUCAUGUUCCAUAUCGUGAUUCUAAACUCACUCGCCUUCUCCAGUCUUCACUGGGUGGGCAUGGACAUGUUUCGCUUAUAUGUACUGUUACUCCAGCAUCUAGUAACAUGGAGGAAACCCAUAACACAUUGAAAUUUGCAAGUCGGGCUAAAAGAGUGGAGAUAUAUGCCUCACGGAAUAAGAUUAUCGAUGAAAAAUCUUUGAUUAAGAAGUAUCAGCGAGAAAUUUCUGUUCUGAAGGAAGAACUUGAUCAAUUAAGGAGGGGGAUGCUGGUGGGUGUGAGCCAUGAGGAGAUCUUGAGCUUGAAGCAGAAGUUAGAGGAAGGCCAAGUGAAAAUGCAGUCGAGAUUGGAGGAGGAGGAAGAAGCCAAGGCUGCUCUCAUGAGCAGAAUUCAGAGAUUGACAAAACUCAUUCUUGUCUCUUCAAAAAAUACAAUUCCAGGAUGUUUGGGCGAUAUUCCAAAUCACCAUAAGAGCCAUUCUUUUGGUGAAGAUGAGAAAUCAGAUGGGCCGCGAGAUUGUUCUCUGCUUAGUGAUGGAGAGAAUCAGAAGGAUCUGCUAUGUUCUGCCUCUGUUACUAUGUCCGAUCCGUCUUAUUAUCCCACGCAUAAAAGAUCUGGUAGCAAAUGGAGUGAUGAAUUCUCACCUGCUGGCAGUGCAGUUACAGAAAUAACUCAGGGUGGUGAACUCAUAAGUGCAAACAAAUUGACAAUGGGUGGGAUAUCAAUGUCAGAUCAGAUGGAUCUUCUUGUUGAGCAAGUAAAGAUGCUUGCUGGGGAGAUUGCGUUCAGCACAAGUACUCUGAAGCGCUUGGUAGACCAGUCUGUGGAUGACCCUGAGAGUUCAAAAACUCAGAUUGAGAAUUUGGAACGUGAGAUUCAAGAUAAGAGGAGGCAGAUGAGGGCACUAGAACAGCACAUUACUGAAAGUGGUGAAGCUUCUAUUGCUAAUGCAUCCCUAGUUGAAAUGCAGCAGACGGUCAUGAGAUUGAUGGCGCAAUGCAACGAGAAAGGUUUUGAGUUGGAGAUAAAAUCAGCAGACAAUCGGAUCUUGCAGGAACAGUUGCAGAAUAAAUGUGCAGAGAACAGGGAACUACUGGAAAGAGUGAAUGUGUUGGAGCAGCAAUUGACUUCAAUUAAUGGUGAUAAGACUAUUAAGACAUCAGUCUCCUCUGAACUGAAUAUUUCUGAAGGCAAUAGCAAUGAGCUGAAAAGGAAGAUUCAAACUCAGGAGAUUGAGAACGAGAAAUUGAAGCUAGAACAUGUCCAGCUUUCGGAAGAAAACAGUGGCUUGCGUGUCCAAAAUCAGAAACUGGCAGAGGAAGCUUCAUAUGCGAAAGAGCUUGCCUCUGCUGCUGCUGUUGAGCUGAAGAAUUUGGCUGGGGAAGUUACUAAGAUUUCCCUGCAGAACUCCAAGCUAGAAAAAGAACUGUUGGCUGCACGAGAAUUGGCACAUUCCAGAGCUAAUGGUUUAAACCGAAAGUUCAGUGAUGGUGUAAGGGCAGCUAGAAAAGGUCGUCUAUCUGGUCGUUCCCAUGAUAUGGGAUCUGCCUCUGAUGAGUUUGAUGCCUGGAGUCUUGAUCCAGAUGAUUUGAAAAUGGAACUACAGGCAAGAAAGCAACGUGAAGUGGCUCUUGAAGCUGCAUUAGCUGAAAAGGAGUUUCUAGAGGAUGAAUACAGGAAAAAAGUUGAUGAGGCAAAGAAGAGGGAGGAAGCUUUAGAAAAUGACUUGGCCAAUAUGUGGGUCCUUGUUGCUAAAUUGAAGAAAGAUGGGGGAGGCAUAACUGAGCUGAACUCGGAUGACAGAUCUUCUGAAGCUAACAACAUUGAUGAAUUGAAGCCUACUGACAGUGAUAGCAACGGCGUUCUAAAAGAGAGGCAAAAUCCUGAUGUCUCAAAACCAACUGAGGAACUUGUCAAGGAGGAACCUCUUGUUGUUCGCUUGAAGGUAGUGCCUGUGGAUGUUCUUUCAGCAUCCAUGCAUGUACUUUUGCGCGAAUGCAAGAAAUGAGAGAAAAGGAACUCAAAUCUGCCGGGAACGGAGAUGGAAACUCGCAUAUGUGUAAAGUUUGUUUUGAAUCACCAACUGCAGCUAUCCUUCUACCCUGCAGGCAUUUUUGUUUGUGUAAAUCCUGUUCUCUAGCAUGUUCUGAGUGUCCUAUAUGUCGUACAAAAAUUGGAGAUAGGCUGUUUGCAUUUACUUCUUGACUCUGCCGUUUAUUUCCUCCUAAAGGGUUUUCUUACUAUUGGUAGCUAUUUUGCUUCCAAUGGCGUGUGCAUUCUUUUAUUACUUUCUCCUGUACGUAGCUCCUGAAACGAUAUUUCAGCCGAUUAUUUUCUGUACCUUUCCCAAAGAGAUGUAAAAUAAUCAGGAAAAGUUCAGAAAAAAGAAGCGAAACAUGUCAAGAGAAUUAUACAAUUUCAAGUUUCUGGGGCAAUUUGUUGCUCUGUCAUUGAACAUGUGGCAGAAUGUCAUGACAUGUUCGAAGUUCUGAAACUUCUGUGGAGUUGGGUUACAUAUACAAAUGGUGUAAGCCUCUGUAAAAAGAAUUCCACCCUUCCAAAUGUAUUUUCUAUUCUGAAAACAAAGUGGCUACUUGUGCCUUGAUCAUCUGCAAAUGCAUUAUGAACUAUCACUGGUUCGUUGAUCAGAA